GAUGAAGAACGUAGCGAAAUGCGAUAAGUAAUGUGAAUUGCAGAAUUCAGUGAAUCAUCGAAUCUUUGAACGCACAUUGCGCCCCCUGGUAUUCCGGGGGGCAUGCCUGUCCGAGCGUCAUUACAACCCUCAAGCUCAGCUUGGUAUUGGGCCCCGCCGCUCCGGCGGGCCCUAAAGUCAGUGGCGGUGCCGUCCGGCUCCGAGCGUAGUAAUUCUUCUCGCUCUGGAGGUCCGGUCGUGUGCUCGCCAGCGACCCCCAAUUUUUUUCAGGUUGACCUCGGAUCAGGUAGGGAUACCCGCUGAACUUAAGCAUAUCAAUAAGCGGAGGA
RNAcentral lists this unclassified non-coding RNA (329 nucleotides) under soil metagenome. RNAcentral's name for it is "partial contains 5.8S ribosomal RNA, internal transcribed spacer 2, and large subunit ribosomal RNA". The stretch from base 1 to 120 matches the Rfam family "5.8S ribosomal RNA", at positions 35 to 154 of the family's 154-position model. The record is from RNAcentral.